ACAACAUUCGGACUGUCGGUCUACCGAGCAAUAUCACCCCACCAGCUCGGUGAAAGAUCUUCUCAUUGUCGU
This 72-nucleotide microRNA precursor is filed under the name Bombyx mori (domestic silkworm). RNAcentral describes it as "mir-2774 microRNA precursor family". It matches the Rfam family "mir-2774 microRNA precursor family". The record is from Rfam by way of RNAcentral. Lineage: Eukaryota; Metazoa; Arthropoda; Insecta; Lepidoptera; Bombycidae.